CACGUAGGAUCCAAGCGUUAUCCGGAUUUAUUGGGCGUAAAGAGUUGCGUAGGCGGCAGAGUAAGCAGAUAGUGAAAUAGUACCGCUUAACGGUAUAAACAUUAUUUGAACUGCUCAGCUAGAGAGCGGAAGAGGUAGCUGGAAUUAUUAGUGGAGGAGUAAUAUCCGUAGAUAUUAGUAAGAACACCAAUGGCGAAGGCAGGCUACUGGUCCGUUUCUGACGCUCAGGCACGAAAGCGUAGGUAGCAAA
Molecule: ribosomal RNA, 250 nt
Filed under: uncultured bacterium
Lineage: Bacteria
Description: partial 16S ribosomal RNA
Rfam family: Bacterial small subunit ribosomal RNA
Source: RNAcentral